Non-coding RNA from Paramuricea clavata, 208 nucleotides. The record is from the annotation of a GenBank genome assembly. Lineage: Eukaryota; Metazoa; Cnidaria; Anthozoa; Malacalcyonacea; Plexauridae.
AGCAAUAAUAGUGAUAUACCGUUUGAGAGAGUAAAAUAUAUAACAAAUUUUUCAUUGUUAUAAAUGGUUUCUAUAUUAAUGUCAUCAACCGUCGUCCGUUUUGAAGGGCCUGGGAAAGAGGUUGAGUGUGUGUGUGUGUGUGGCGGGGGGGGGGGGGUGUCGAGGGUUUGUCGUUUGUAAGAACUGUUUCACGUCAUAACAUCGCGUG